Molecule: long non-coding RNA, 1147 nt
Organism: Ictalurus punctatus (channel catfish)
Lineage: Eukaryota; Metazoa; Chordata; Actinopteri; Siluriformes; Ictaluridae
Exons: 5
Source: RefSeq, a predicted model, not a curated record
CUGUCUCUGUCUCUUUCUCUGUCUCUGUCUCUCAGACACCCUCUCUCUGAAAAUUGUCUUGAAAACACAACAUGAAAAUGGCCCAAUUCCACCAGGUUUUAAUAAAGUUGAGCAGUUCCAGGAGGUUGUUCUAGGUAGCACUAGAGUUAAUCUGUCAUGUAUGGGAGAUAACUGUGUCAGAAUUGGAGGCUGCAUUGGUGUAGUAAUGAAUAUUCUUCAAUGUCAGGAGAAGGUGUAUGUAAUCUACAGAGAAUGUGAGCAAAUGGAACCUUUCUUUCACUAUCCCAUAAACUCAAUUCAGAUGGGGGUCUAUUUAGUAGAUAAUCUCUCAUCUAGCCUGAAAUGAUUGAAUUGAAUGGAAAUGUGAUGAAGUAUGUGAGGCUACCAUAUCAAGGCCGAUUUGUUGCAGUGCGUUUACUGCACAUAAAGUGGUAAUGUAAUUGAGAAUGACAUACAGCACUGCCUCAUCAAAAUAAUUCAUUUUUCAGUUAUUUAAUUCAUGCAUUUUUAAAGUCAUUUAGACAUGAAAUUAGAUUAGGUGUCUUGGGACAUUAGAGAGGUGUUCACCACUGGAAUGUUGGAUGUCUCUGAUCCAUGUAUUCUUAGGAAUGUUUAUAGCAAUUUAAGUUUUAUUAAUCUUUGUUUUUUUCACUGAACAGACAGCUAUGAGGAAAGAAGGAGAAAGGUUCGAGAGGCUGAGGUUUGAUCUGACCUUCAGACCAGAGGGGACUUCAAUAUCCUUUACAGAAAUGCUGACCAGUAACCACACCAUCUGGCAGCCUGAGGAUUUCACAUGUGAACCCUCAACAGACUCUAUUACACGGAUGCCAAAGGACUCCUCAGACCCCUACUCCUGAAGUUAUUGUCACUCCACAAGAGCCUUCAAGAUCUGGGUUCCAAGAAACACCUUUCCGUGCAAAGAGCUCUACAGCCACCUGAAGUCAGUGCCAGUCCAAACCCACCACAGCCUCAACAGACUCCAUUACAUGGACACCAAAGGACUCAUCAGACCCCUACCCCUGAAGUCACUGUCUAUGCUGUCCGAAAGAACCCGUUAACAUCAAGGGCAACAAGUGCUGAGAUUGUGACGGUGAUGAAAAGGUGGCUGCAGCUGGCUUCAGACCGUGGAGGAGGAUGGAAGAGGUGC